UGGGGAAUUUUGGACAAUGGGCGAAAGCCUGAUCCAGCAAUGCCGCGUGUGUGAAGAAGGCCUUCGGGUUGUAAAGCACUUUUGUCCGGAAAGAAAUCCUUGGCUCUAAUACAGCCGGGGGAUGACGGUACCGGAAGAAUAAGCACCGGCUAACUACGUGCCAGCAGCCGCGGUAAUACGUAGGGUGCAAGCGUUAAUCGGAAUUACUGGGCGUAAAGCGUGCGCAGGCGGUUUGCUAAGACCGAUGUGAAAUCCCCGGGCUCAACCUGGGAACUGCAUUGGUGACUGGCAGGCUAGAGUAUGGCAGAGGGGGGUAGAAUUCCACGUGUAGCAGUGAAAUGCGUAGAGAUGUGGAGGAAUACCGAUGGCGAAGGCAGCCCCCUGGGCCAAUACUGACGCUCAUGCACGAAAGCGUGGGGAGCAGACAGGAUUAGAUACCCUGGUAGUCCACGCCCUAAAACGAUGUCAACUAGUUGUUGGGGAUUCAUUUCCUUAGUAACGUAGCUAACGCGUGAAGUUGACCGCCUGGGGAGUACGGUCGCAAGAUUAAAACUUAAAUGAAUUGACGGGGUCAUAA
This 577-nucleotide ribosomal RNA is filed under the name uncultured bacterium. Its description in RNAcentral is "partial 16S ribosomal RNA". It matches the Rfam family "Bacterial small subunit ribosomal RNA", at positions 355 to 924 of the family's 1533-position model. The record is from RNAcentral.